Molecule: ribosomal RNA, 159 nt
Filed under: Globisporangium sylvaticum
Lineage: Eukaryota; Oomycota; Peronosporomycetes; Pythiales; Pythiaceae
Description: Pythium sylvaticum 5.8S ribosomal RNA
Rfam family: 5.8S ribosomal RNA (bases 39-159)
About the family: 5.8S ribosomal RNA (5.8S rRNA) is a component of the large subunit of the eukaryotic ribosome. It is transcribed by RNA polymerase I as part of the 45S precursor that also contains 18S and 28S rRNA. Functionally, it is thought that 5.8S rRNA may be involved in ribosome translocation.
Source: RNAcentral
ACUGUGAGAACGAAAGUUCUUGCUUUUAACUAGAUAACAACUUUCAGCAGUGGAUGUCUAGGCUCGCACAUCGAUGAAGAACGCUGCGAACUGCGAUACGUAAUGCGAAUUGCAGAAUUCAGUGAGUCAUCGAAAUUUUGAACGCAUAUUGCACUUCCG